GCCAGAUCACGUACGCUGUCGGCAGUUGACCAGCAACGACAGCAGACGUUCCCCCAUAAAGCGGGUGUCGCAGGUUCGAAUCCUGCCGGGGGCA
This 94-nucleotide transfer RNA is filed under the name Amycolatopsis endophytica. RNAcentral describes it as "tRNA-Phe". Lineage: Bacteria; Bacillati; Actinomycetota; Actinomycetes; Pseudonocardiales; Pseudonocardiaceae. The record is from RNAcentral.